RNAcentral lists this ribosomal RNA (419 nucleotides) under Triticum aestivum (bread wheat). Its description in RNAcentral is "partial small subunit ribosomal RNA". Lineage: Eukaryota; Viridiplantae; Streptophyta; Magnoliopsida; Poales; Poaceae. The record is from RNAcentral.
ACGUACGGGGUGAACUACGGCCGGAUCGCGGACAACCUGCCGCCGCCGACGGAGGUGGUGAAGCUGCUCCAGAUGGCGCGGAUCAAGAACGUCCGCAUCUUCGACUCGGACCACACCGUGCUGGACGCGUUCCGCAACUCCGGGCUCAACCUCGCCAUCGCCAUCCCCAACGGCCUCGUCAAGGACAUCUCCGCCACCCCGAGCAAGGCCAUGGACUGGGUGAACGAGAACGUGCGGCCCUACUACCCGGCCACCCGCAUCGUGGCCAUCAUCGUGGGCAACGAGAUCCUGGGCGGGCAGGACACGGGGCUCGCCGAGGCGCUCUUCGGCGCCGUCGUCAACAUCCACGACGCGCUCCGCGCGAUGCGCCUGUCCGGCAGGAUCGAGGUGAACACGCCGCACUCGGAGGCGGUGUUCGG